RNAcentral lists this ribosomal RNA (409 nucleotides) under uncultured bacterium. Its description in RNAcentral is "bacterial SSU rRNA". It matches the Rfam family "Bacterial small subunit ribosomal RNA", at positions 29 to 430 of the family's 1533-position model. The record is from RNAcentral.
AGUGAUCGCUGGCGGCGUGCUUAACACAUGCAAGUCGAGCGAAUUUCAGCAGUGUAUCGCUGAAGUUAGCGGCAGACGGGUGAGUAAUACUUGGGCAAUCUGCCCUUGAGUGGGAAACAACCGGCCGAAAGGCUGGCUAAUGUCCCAUAAGACCACAGGAUGGCAUCAUCCAGGGGUCAAAGCUCCGUAAGGGGCGCUUGAGGAGGAGCCUGAGGCCUAUCAUGGUAGUUGGUGAGGUAACGGCUCACCAAGCCUUUGACGGGUAGCCGGCCUGAAAGGGUGAUCGGCCACACUGGCACUGAGACACGGGCCAGACUCCUACGGGAGGCAGCAGUGGGGAAUUUUGGACAAUGGGGCAACCCUGAUCCAGCGACGCCGCGUGAAGGAUGAAGGUCUUCGGAUUGUAAAC